This 9679-nucleotide long non-coding RNA is filed under the name Homo sapiens (human). RNAcentral describes it as "HSALNT0383403". The record is from RNAcentral. Lineage: Eukaryota; Metazoa; Chordata; Mammalia; Primates; Hominidae.
GCAUCUCGCUGUCUGCGCUGGGCACGGAGCGGCGCGCGCGCGCCCGUCUUUCCCUCGGCGGCCCCCGCGGCUCGGACCCGGGCCGGCAGACAGGCCAUCCAUCAUCCGCCCUCCUCCCGCGGAGCGCCGCAGCCGCCGCGGCCAAUCCGGCGGCAGGUGGGGCCGCACCUGCGCGACAGCCCGCCGCUUCCCUCCGCUCCCUUCGCCGCGCCUCGCGUGCUAGCGGUGCCCUUGUGAGCCACUGCGUUCUCCAAGGCCAGAACGGGACAGCAAAAAAGACAGAAGAUUAAAGGAUCUGAAAUUCAUUCAACGAUAAAAGUGCUUAAAACAUUCUAUCUUGGAGAGAUUUACAUUUUAAUUGGUAGCAAGCUUGAAAAGAAAAGAAUGAAGAUCUUGGAUACUUCUAAUCAUCAAGGAAAGGGUACAAAUCAAACUGCUCUGAUGGCCUGAUUUGCACUUCUUCUACAGUUGACGAUGGUCGUACUUCUCCAUGUUCUGAGACCAGUUUAAACAAAAACAAAAACCAGACAACAACCUUGCAAGGGAAAGAAUUCAGAGUAAAUAAACAGUCUUUUUCUGGGAAGUAAAAUAUUUCCCUAAGAUGGAGAAAUUGAGAUGAGAGCUCAUCCACAAGAUUACCCAUCAAUGAGCACCAAUAGCAACCAAAUCCACUAGAAGACUGGGAGCUUUUAAGUCAAGAAACUUACAUCAGUAUCAUCAUUCCAAGAAGCGGUAUCCAAGCUGUUUUAUCGAAAGUGCGCAUGGGAGAAACCCCUUUCUGAGGCACAGACCCUGCAGGCUCUGAAGAAAUAGGAUAGAUUAUUUCAGCUCUCUCAGCUUGGGAAGUGUGUUUGGAAGAGCAUCUUCCUAGCUGCAAUAAUAAACAGCUCCAGCUGCAAGAGCUUUGCUAAACAAGCCUGGGCAAAACCGUUGGAUUCCUUUCCUUUGACCAUCUUAGAUUUCCCCUGCAAGAGGCAAGGCAGGGAGCCUGCCCUGGAAAUGUCCUCCUAGCCCUGCCCUGUGCAGCUCUGCGCUUCCCCAGGAACACACUCCCUCCCCCAGUCCGCCGCCCCACUUUUGUUUUAUUUACGAAUAUGUUGCCAGAAUUCCAAUGAGUUAUCUAUUCUGUGGCCCCUUCAUUUUCCCACCGAGGCCUUGUCGCCGGCUGACUCAGGGUCCAGUCGCAACAGUGAGAAGAAAAGAAGAGAGCAAAAGAAUUCUUUUCAACUUUUUUUUUUUUUAUGUUUCACUCAUUUCUCUCUCUGUCUCCCCCAGGCCUCCUCCCCUCUCCUGCUCCCUCGUUCCCCCCACUCCCCAGCCUCCUAGGCUCUCCUUUACCCCCUUUAUGUUACACGAUCGCUCAAAUUGAAGCUCAGGAGGGUCCUAUAGGGAAUGCAUAGGAACCCUGGGAGAAAAAAGCCCCCAACAAGCUAUACACCAGAUGUAUAACGUUAUAUGGUCAAACUGGCAAACACAAAAGCUGAAAAACAAAAGGCGUGAAUUAGGGAGACGCAUUCAAAGGCGUGUUUUCAAAACAGCCCGGCCAAGAGCCUGGAUCCCCCUCCUGAGACUAAAUGCUUGAAAGAAAAGGUGCUAAAGAAAGAAAGGAAAAGAAAAAAAGCCCAUUUUUUCUAAUUAGCUGAGGCCUAACAGGCGCUGAAUUUCGCAACUAGUUUUCAUCAAGGGGGUUGUGGCUCGUGAAACUGAAAAAAGAUGCUUUUGAAACCUGUGAUGUAGGCCCUUUCUCGGACCAGAGCUGGUCUCUCUCCUUGAGCUUUUUUCUCCCCCUCGCUUUUUGGGUUCUGCCUUGCUUCAUAUCUUGAUCCCUUUUUUGCACCCUCCCCUCAAAGUACAAAUAUUAUUUGGGCUUAAAAAGAGAGCAGGAGGGAAAGCCACAAUGGCCCUCCCCGCCCCUCUUUCUGUCUGGUAGGCAGGGGGUUUUCCUUGCCAGCAACAGUCCUGAGUCGCUAUGAAUCUCAUUCCAAAGCUCCGCAGAGCACCAAAGGGGAGGGAAAAGGUGUCACUGCAGGCUGAGAGUGUGUGUGUGUGUGUGUGUGUGUGUGUGUGUGUGUGUGUGUUUUCUGUAAACGCUGGGCUUAAAAUUAAAAACCCUCCACUACUGUGAUUUUAGAUAUUUGGAGGAUGGUCUCUCGCUGAGCGUUUUUGCAAAUGCAACUAGGCAAUGUUUUCUAGGCAGCAAGGUAGAUUCCCAGAGCAAAAGGUUUUGCUCCUCCUGCGCUUUCAGAAAGGACACACACAAGCAACCUGAAUUUUUUUUUAAUUCUGAUUUGAAGUGUAUAAAAGGAUGUUGCAACCAGAGAGUUACUAGUCUUCUGCUGCAUGAACAAAUUAUGAACUUGCAUUCUUCAAUCACAUUUCUAAUAGGAAAACAAAGCAGAACUCGUGGGUGAGAGUUGGUGGGCCGCCUGCGUUUGGAAGGGAGGCAACUUUAAUUGCCGUGCUGUCUGGCUCGGAUCCCUGUGGUCCUGCGUGGUGUGUUUUAGUAACAAACACUUGUUCUAAUGAAUUGGCCUUAUUAGGGGGCUCCUCAUAUUCUUUUAUAAAGAGCAGAGCUAUUCUGAACUUCUGAAUGCAACAGUCUCUUGAUAUUCUCACACUGAAGGCUGUAGUGUGGGAUUGCAUUCCCUCUCCUGUAUUUUCAUAAGGCUCGUAUUUUUUAAUGGCAGAAGAGUGAGCAGUGGUAGAAAGGUAAGAAAACUACAGAGCUUGCAGGUACCUGCCAUCCAUGGACCCAGGGCCAUCAAAGAGGCUUGCAAAAUCAUUAUGCUAAAGAUGUAUUUGCCUUCACAGCUGAACAAUCCGGAUUUUAGGUCAGUCACCUCCUGGCACAUUUAAAAAAAAAAAAAAAACUCAUGGCAAUGGAUAAAACAGAUUCAUUAGCUUUGAUUAACCUUCUUUAACUAGAGUUAAAAACCUGCCGUAGGCAGCUCAGCUACCAAUGCAGCCUUGAAGAUACUUUAUCAUGUUUAAGACCCAAUUACUGUUGCACUGAGUAAGAAUAAAACAUCACAAUAAAAUGUGGUACAAACCGCAACUCUAACGCACACAGCAAAUAAUCAUUAAUUUACAACAGCAACUUUCCCAUUUCUAUGGUUUUUCUGAUGGCUGCACUUAGUUCAAGUUGAAUACCUUGGAAUUCGAUGCUGAUAUGAGAAACUAGUUCCCCAGCUGUAUUGACUGAUGGCUUUUUUUUUUUUUCUGUCUUAUAGCUUUAGUUUGGAGACUCAGAAGACUCUUUUAAAAAUUUCCAAGUAAAAUAAAAAAGAGAAACUAAAGUCAAAACAGGGUCUGUGGAACUAGGUUUAUAUAAGAGACAGGGAGGGAGAGAGAGAGAGAGAAAGGAUUAAAAUGGUUGAAACUUUAGAAUUUUAUAACAAUUUCUUAUUAAUAAUUGGAAAUAUUUCUAGUUAGAAGUUGUAAAUAUUAAAGAAACACAGCCCAGUAAAGUCAGCAUUGAGUUAGUUCAAAGAGUUAUCCGUAUGAUAUGCAAACUUCUUGAAAGAGCUACAGUGAGGUCUAUUUUGUGCAUCUUGUAAGAAAAGAGAGCUUGAGAAGAACUCCAGCACACAAUGAGUUAAUUUUGGACAGGAUUUGACUGAACAGGGAAUAAUGAACAGUGAGAUACUGCAGCUUUCAGGCAAAACAGAGUAACAACAAUUAAAAAGAGAGAGAGGGGAUAAAGGGAGAAAACAAUCUCCAGUCAGUUAACUAACAAGAGCAGCCCAGUGUUUGAAACAGAUAAAACAGAGGCCACCAGGAACGCUGCUGCUGCUGCCGCUGCCACUUGCUUUAUGCCUGGGUGUGGAAAGCAUUACAACAUUUGUGAGCCAACUGUUUGUGGGUUUCUUCUCAUCUGCUUUAAAAUAUUUGGUUUUGCCGUAUUUCCAUAAUAACCACAACCACACUCUCCUCUCCAAAAACCCCCCACAACAACAGAUGUGUGUUCUAAAAGGAAAUAGAGACACUGAUAUAAUCAGACACUAGUUAGAGUGCUUUCAUACUAAAUUCUCCAGCAAAUUCACAACAACAAAAAACUCUCAACCACUGAUGAAAUUAAUCUAAGAUCCUUGAUUAUUUGAAGUUCUAAAAGUUUCCAUUUUGCAUUUUGUUUUUGAAUGUAUAGUGCUUUAUUUAUCAAACUGCAGCGUAAUUUUCCCUUCAGUUUGAGGCUGCGAUUGUGAAACAAAUAAAUUGAAACUUAAGGGCCUGUUCUCUCCAAAUUUAGUUCCAUUAUCACUUUAAGAAUGCAUGCUACUCAAUGAUACAAAAGGGAUGUAUGUAGCUGGUUAUUUAGUUGCUAACUCAGCAAUAUGUCAGUUAACACAGCACUCCCUUGUAAAACUCCUUUUACAAGGUUGUUUUCUCAUUGGAAGUCUCCAUUUGUGUAUUUGUGUACCUAUGUGCGUGUGUGUGUGUGAAUAUCGGAUAUUACAUGACAGCAAGAUAUCUUUUAAAUAUUUAAGAUUUACAAUUUUAAAGAGAGAAAACAAGAAUAAAGUUUUGCAGAAGCUUAAAAAAAAUUUAAAAUCAGUUCACACUUUGAGCUAGAAUGGGGAUAGUAGUGAUAUUUCAAAUAUAUUAAUUAUAUGCCUCUCUCAUAGCUAUGAUAUUCUUGUAUGUAUUGAUAUGCACUCACUUAAAGUAUAUUAUGUGCUCUACAUAAUAUUAGAUAUUCUAGAGCAUUAAAGAGCAUCAAAUGCAUUUGGUUGCUCUCUACAGUAAGUAAUUUUGGCCUUACAGAAAGUCAUUUGGCCACAGUGAAGUAGCCUUUAACUGUGUUUUACUUGGAAAAGUUUAUUUAAUCGUUAUCCUCUGCACAUACUCUUAGAACAUGUCCAUAUAACAAAAUUGUAGUUGAGGGAGGAAAGUAGAAUUGUGAAUUUAAAAAAAAAAUACUUAUGGUAAUGAUCCUUUUGGCUUCCUGCCUCUAUAUAGAAGCUGGAACCACUUAACCCCAACCUACAGGUCCAGCCCUGACAUGACUGGAACUCAUCUUGACCUUGGGUAAGGGGAAUUCAGGGAGCUGUAGACCAGGAGUUCAUCAGCCAAGCGUGAAGUCCCCUUGGCCCCUGGACAAACUCUUCUCUCAUUUCUCGAGGCUGGGCUCAAGGUUGAUUUCACAGGACAAGGCUUUAACUCCUAGUCCAGUUUAAUGUGUUUCAUCCUGCCCAUGUGCCCAAGUACAACUCAUUGCCUUGUUUUCCUGUAUAGUACCCCUAUUCUGGGCACCCUACAACAGGUUCUCUUAGAGUCCUGCCAGCUCUCCCAUUUCUGGGGCUCAAGACUGGAGAUUCAUGUGAUCUACUGUGUUUACCAGAUGCCCUCCAUCUUGGAUCUCUACCCAUGUCUGUUGCUAGACAGCCGUGGAGCCCUAUUUCACAUUGUUGCUUAGUUAUCCACCAGUCAGCUACUCUUGGACUUCCUUAGAAGCCCAAACUUUUUACAGAUCAGCCCCUGGUGAUUGGUCAAAACUCCAGGUUCCGGCCAGUUCUGCUCUAGCUGGUCUCUCUCAUAACCUUUUGAACUGGGCAGAGAUGCUAGCACAACGGGUAAAGAAAGAUGAAAAAAAAAAGCAACAAAACUAUAAUCAAGAUUGUUGGAAUCUUCAAUAGGCUUCCUUCCACAUAUCCCUUGCCUUCAUUACCUUAUAUUAACAUUCUCAAGUUCUUCAGUAUUCAUUAUCUUAUAUUAACAUUCUUAAGUUCUUGAGUAUUUUUGGAACUAUCCAGUCUCUAGUGGUUAUGCCAGUCAUUGUGUCUACCAGAGCUAUGGGAAUUUUGUCUCCAGCUUUCCAGUCUACUCCCAGUGACAGCCCGGCAGAAAAAGAUUUAUAAUCUCAAACCCAACAAGGAACAUCAAUGAAUGUUUUAUAAAUUCAGUAGUCAUUUGCAACAGUCAGUGACAGAGGCAAGCUGGCUAAUUUCAAAAGGGAGUAUCCCCCUAGUCUGAUAUGUGGGCAUUUGGAGGAGUGGGGAAGGCCUUGUCCUGAGGCUCCUCUGUGUACUGUAAAGAAAUAGAGCCCACAGCAUGUGCUCUAGAAUCAGACCACGCCAGCUUCCUCCUAAUAAGCUGCCUCUGCAUUCCUAAUGUGGAAACGAACAUGAAGCUUCACAGCAAGUUAUUAUCUUAGAGAAGGCCCACCUGGAUGAUAUCAGUUUUCACUGCCAGACCCUCUUAAUAAUUGGCCUUUGACACAUAUCCAGGUGUCGUCUUAGAUCAUAAACACCUAAGUAGCUGUAGGAACAGUGAUUUGAAUAGCAGCCCUUUGCAAAUUUCCAUCUUAAAACUUUUAAGUAAAUCGUUCUUAAGCCUGACUGCAAUUGGAAUCACUUGGAAAGCUUAAAAAUAAAAUGCCCAAGUUUCACCCACCAACCUGUUGAGUUCAAUUAGUCUGAUGUGAGGGUACACAUGACAUCUCGAUUAGGAGAGGUUCAGGGAUUGCUAAUAUUCCACCAGAAUAGAAGACACUUCUUUACAUCUUCAGACAGCGAAAUACCAGCACAACCAUUACUCUGCUGAGCAAUGGGAAACCCAAAAGGAGUAUAUACUUUCAUCUUCACCCAAGGUCAGUUUCUUAUGCCUGUAAGAUCAGCGCUUUCUCCUCUGGUCAGCUGACAGAACAGCCUCACCUACUCUAAGUCACAACCUUCUCUGAGGACCUAAGCUGUAUAAUUAAGGCACAAGUACAAGUCUUUGGGCUUUCAAGGCAAAGUUCCCUUAAGUCCCAACUCACCCUUGCUAACUACCUCUCUGAUUUAUGGAAACCAGGCUCUUCCUUUGCUGGUCACCAGAAGCCUGACUUAUUCAGAACCACUGAAACCCAUCCUGUCCCCUCUCUUUUUACUGUCUGCUUCUAUUCUUUGAUAAGCUGCUGAAACAUACUGCUGUGAAAACUGCUAGUAAUUGGGCACAGUUAGAUUAAGGAAACCCUUCAGGUAGCCUCAAGGUCAAAAAACUGCUUCUUAUGCCAAGAUCCUCCCAAUGACAACAUCCUUUAGAGGAGAGACCAGUUUUUCCUUCUUCCCUGCUACCAGUUUCAACUCCAGUCUGUUGGAAGCUUGACUUCCAGGUCCUGGAAAGCCAGAAGCCAGAAAAAGAUUUAUUACACAUUAGUUCAGAGAAAUAGAAGUGAAAUCUUCUAAGAACUAGAAAAAUUUUCACCGAUUAUUUCCUCAUCCUUCCUCUGCCCAUAUUUUUCUUUGAUGAUGUAACAAAUGCCCUGCACAGUAGUUCAAGCAGCCUUAUAUCACUGGCUUGUAACCUGUUUAUAGAAUAACUGGAGAAUUCUUAUAAAUUCCUGGGCCCUGACAAUAUCUAAUACUUGCAUGGCACAUUAUGGUUUAGAUAACACUUCACAUGCAUUAUCUCAUUUAAUCUUCAUGGGGAAAGUGGCUGACUCAUACAUAUAUAAAGAAAGAGAGCCGAACUUAACUACAGAAUAUAGUUGACAGCACAAAAUAAAGUGACACUAAGUGAGGUACCACGCAGGAACUGCAUAGGUUUCUGUUGUAAUCCUCUCCUGAAUGUGUCCAUUGCUUAUAUAAUGCCAUUCAGUACAAGAUAGUUACCAUAUUAUUUCCCUCCUUAUCUCUUGGUACAAAUAGUGCACAAAGUAGGAAGAUUAGCUGAGUGAUGCUUAAAAUCUCUUCUAGUUAUAUCUCUUCUUUGUUAGCCUUCUUUACACAUUAUCUAAGCAUAACUUUGGAAGUUCUUGAAUUAUUUUUUCCCUAGGAAACUGCAUGUCUUCCAGUAUAUCAUUGGUUGAAAAAGGCACAAACAAAAAACUUAAUUUGAUAUUAAACUUAAGUACAGUGCAGCAUUAUAGAUCCCUCCCUUCUGUUUCUAGCUCUCAUGUGGUUUUCUCAGCAGCUGUAUGAGCACUGAUUUAGUCUGGGAUGUAAACAGUGCACCUUUAAGGUAACCUGUGCGCUUCCGUUAUUUUGUUUUCUGGAAGCCUAUGAGAAGGUUAACGUAGUUCAUUAAGGUUUGCAUAACUUCUUAUGUUUGAUGACUCAUUCACAAAAAUGAAAAGCAGGACUUAGGAUUUGUUAACCAGAAUUAUGUAAACCGUAUAUCUAGCAUAUCUGGGUUAAAAUCCCAACUCUUUAACAUUUUACUAGCUCUACAUUCUUGUGGAAGUCUUUGAGUUAUAGUUCCCUCUUUUGUAGAACCGAAAGAAUACUACCCAUCCCAUAAAGCUUUGUGAAGCCAUAGUACCUGGUACAUAACUCUCAAUAAUUGGUAGUUGUUUUUAUAACAGUGCUGGUAGUAGUUAUUAUUCUAACUACAAAUUAUAAGUUUUACUUAAUAAUACAAAAUAAAAGCCACUACCAUAAAUAACUCCUGUGCCUUCUACUUCCUACCCCAAAAUAAUUGAACCAAACUCUGCUCUAUUCUCUGGACAACCCAUGGAUCAAAUAAUGAAGCACAACAUUUAAAAGCUUAAAAUAUGGCUGGGUGCAGUGGCGCACGCCUGUAAUCCCAGCACUGUGGGAGGCCGAGGCGAGCAGAUCACCUGAGGUCAGGAGUUCGAGACAGCCUGGGCAACAUGGUGAAACCCCAUCUCUACUAAAAAUACAAAAAUUCGUUGAGCAUGGUGGCACACGUCUGUAAUCCCACCUACUUGGGAGGCUGAGGCAGGAGGAUCACUUGAACCCGGGAGGUAGAAGUUGCAGUGAGCUGAGAUUGCACCACUGCACUCCAGCCUGGGUGACAGAGUGAGACUCUGUCUCAAAAAACAAACAGAAACACAUAAAAGCUUAAAAUGUUUUGGGAAAGUGCCUACUCUGAAUGUAUGAACAGAUUCCAAUAUAUGUAAGAAGGUGGAUACCAAUUCAUGGUAUUUCUCAGGGAUCUCAUCAGAGAGAGAGACAUCUUCGCCACUGCCAUGAAGUUUCAAGUACAGAACUCUUCCUCGUAAUCAAACUAUUUCUAUGAACAAUUCACUCAUCAUUGUGGGAAAGUCUAUUUUUCAUCUUAACACACAAACAGACAAUAACAAAAUUUGUGAUUUGGAUAAUCUGGAUCUGAUGUUCAUGCUCAAAAUGGAGGCAAUUCGUAAUACUGGUCUGAAGCAUUUAGUCAUUCACUGAGCAGAUACGUUAGGAGCAACAGGCAUGGGCUGUGUUUUUCUAGGCACUGUGAACACAGCAGUCAACGAAGUCAAAAACCUGUGCUCUUAAGGGACAUGAAUUGCCAAAUGGAAACACUAAGUUUUUCUAUUUAUGACCUAAAGCUAGUCAAAUAUCUCCAGAAGUAAGGUAGCUGAGUGAAGUGGUUCAUAAUCUUUCCAUGGGAGCCAAAUCCUCGGUGCUGUGACUCUUUUAGAUAAAUGAUAGUAAAAAUGAAUCAAAAGUUAAUUAGCUUGCACCUCAAUAAUCCAGUCUCCAUCACUGAUGGUCAUCGUGGAAUCUGCGUACAGAGGCAGCUGUAUACAGAUGACAGAGACAGCUCUAACACGUGACACAUUUAAGCACACAGAGGCGGAAGGACAUAAAGUUCCUGGUUGAUUUCCCUUUGGUGUUUGUGGGGAAAUAUCAAGGUCAUAAAAAGUCAGUUUCUAAUAAUCCCUCCAGUCCUCCAUUCCAUUCCCUAAUUUGUAUGCAAUGGCAUUUAACAUUUUGACUUUGCUUAAAAUAAAAUGUGUGUUUGUUUUAAA